CUGAAGAAACAAGGGUUUUUGAGACUGCGUCCAUUAUAUUGGCGUGUGCUCGACCCUUACUCUUUCAUCCACACACACCUUUGUGCACCAAGGGGACCGUUGCGUCCCCCUUUUCUUCUACAAAUACCGAGUUAUAUGCAUGUCUAUUUUGUAAUACUCUAUGGAGUAAAUAAAUA
RNAcentral lists this unclassified non-coding RNA (176 nucleotides) under uncultured fungus. RNAcentral's name for it is "sequence contains ITS1, 5.8S rRNA gene". The record is from RNAcentral. Lineage: Eukaryota; Fungi.